This 1829-nucleotide long non-coding RNA is filed under the name Nicotiana tabacum (common tobacco). RNAcentral describes it as "long non-coding RNA (NTAB_LNC007610)". The record is from RNAcentral. Lineage: Eukaryota; Viridiplantae; Streptophyta; Magnoliopsida; Solanales; Solanaceae.
UCCCCAUAUUUCAGCUUAUAAUAGCCAGUGUUACAGUCGUGUACCUGGUAUUGGAAACAAAAGAAGAGGAAGAUGAGAAACAGCAGAUGCAGUAGCAGCACAACAACAACAGCAAACAACAAUAGCCCAAUAACAUAUUAAAACCAGCAAAGUCCCGGCAAUAACCAAUGGAACAGUAACGGGAAAACCCACAACAAACUCAGAAAUGCAAUGAAACAGUACUUUCUGACUCUCUAUUCUUUAACUCUCAAAGAAGAGCACUUUCAAGAAACCCUACUCUUUUAACUGAUUUUCAGCAAUCAAAGCAGACUAUACUUUCUUACUCUCAAACUCAACUGACCUCCUCAACACUAAAGUCAGCCUAUUUUAUAUAUUUAUAAUUCUGAAUUUUUGAUCUCCCAAAAAAUUUUCCUCCCUCAUCAGUCCAAAUGCCCUCCCUUUUAUAACUAUUACAGACCUGCCCACUCUUUAAUAACUUAACUACCCGACCCCCCAGCAAACAAAAAUCUGCAUAUUUCCACUUAAAACUCACUAAGGAAUGCUUUUCCAUAUUUUCAGCCCCAAUUCCCUCUCGUUCCUCAUUAACUUAUUAAUUUAAAGACAUUUAAUACCCCACUAACAAGACACUAACAUUAAAAUAUUAUCCUAACUGUUCCAUUCCCAAAUCACCCCUGAAACCCCUUAAUAUUAUUGCCUUAACACAAUCUAUUAAAACCUUUAACUCUAAAAUCUGUUCAAGCUAACAAUUAUCUAAAACUAACUCUGAUUAACAACUAUAACCAAUCUUCCUGACAACUGAAUGACUAAGGUCGAAUUCCAAUUGAAACAAAGGGACUGAAUUUGAAUCAAAAUCAUAUUAACAUCACACAGAACCCAACAGCAUUAUUGAAGCUGAAACUUGAUAUGGGGAUUAAGCUAACACAAUUCUAAGUUAAACCUAUCCAAAAUGCCGGAUCACUGUCACUAUAAUGACACUGAGCCCUAAAGCUAAGUGUCUACAGAUCAACAUACACAACACGCGACAUUAAACCAUUUGACGAACUUAAUGGUCUACAAACAAGAACGAAUUAAUCGACGAAACUAUUUAUAACCUAUGUUAUUAAUCGACAGAACAUAAACUGAUGGAUACGAGAGAAAAUAACGGACAAAAGACGAAUUACAAUGAACCUAAUUUAGGCAAACGAAGAAUUGAUUAAACUACUCAAACAAACAUUAGAAUAUUUAAUCUAACCAGAAUCAGAAAAAGAAGCAGAAUAUAUACUGGAUUAACUUAAACUGAAAACCUAAAGAAGCGACUAAUUACACAGACAAACAAACACAUAGAAAAAAGGAAAAGAAGAAGCUAAGAAGAACUCACUGUUCUUUUCUCGGAUUUCACCCAUAUGCCCUUUCGAACUUGAGUUCCAGUUAGUAUUAUACGUUUAUUUCAUCAGAAAUAGGCUUAUAAUACUAACCAGAACCCGUUCGACCCUGACAUCUUCGAAACAGUCUCGAACUGUCGAACCCUAGAUCCGCCAUUUGAUGAGUUUUACUCGGAUUCGAGCCCAUCUGGUUAGGGAUUAGCUACGAGGAGGUAAAGAGGAUUAUUGGGUGUCAUUUUGGAGUUAAGUGGACAAGGUAGGGUUUGGGACAGGGUCUUCGAUCGAAGAUUCAAGAAUCUGUAGUAUGAUUCGAGGUUAAUGGAGUAUGGAAUCGUGUUGAGGGUGGUUAGGAGGUUCAGGGGUGUUAUUUUCACGUCCAUCGAAGCCGGCGCCGCCGGGUUUACGGUGAAGGGAUGGGGUGGCGGCUAUAAGGGUUCCUAGUCUCUGAAAGACGAUGAUGAACAGGGG